AGGACGAACGCUGGCGGUGUGCUUAACACAUGCAAGUCGUGCGACGAACCAGACUUCGGUCUGGGGCAAAGCGGCGAACGGGUGAGUAACACGUGGGUAAUCUGCCCCGAUGACUGGGACAACCCGAGGAAACUCGGGCUAAUACCGGAUGUGGUGCCUGGACUCAAGUCCGGUCACUAAAGGUAGCUUCGGCUUCCGCAUUGGGAGGGGCCCGCGGCCCAUUAGCUUGUUGGUGGGGUCAAGGCCUACCAAGGCAACGAUGGGUAGCUGGUCUGAGAGGACGAUCAGCCACACUGGGACUGAGACACGGCCCAGACUCCUACGGGAGGCAGCAGUGGGGAAUCUUGCGCAAUGCGCGAAAGCGUGACGCAGCAACACCGCGUGAGGGAAGACGGCCUUAGGGUUGUAAACCUCUUUCAGAUGGGACGAAGGUGAUGCGGUGAAUAGCCGAUGUCAUUGACGGUACCGUCAGAAGAAGCUCCGGCUAACUACGUG
RNAcentral lists this ribosomal RNA (495 nucleotides) under uncultured bacterium. RNAcentral describes it as "bacterial SSU rRNA". It matches the Rfam family "Bacterial small subunit ribosomal RNA", at positions 26 to 507 of the family's 1533-position model. The record is from RNAcentral.